Photinus pyralis (common eastern firefly) is the source of this 588-nucleotide long non-coding RNA. RefSeq lists it as uncharacterized. NCBI's taxonomy places the organism in Eukaryota, Metazoa, Arthropoda, Insecta, Coleoptera, Lampyridae. The record is from RefSeq and is a predicted model, not a curated record. The transcript has 3 exons.
UAUUUUGUCCUAUAUGCGCAUGAAACUAAUACCCUUUUACUGUUUCACAGCUUCCCUUUAGAAACUCAAAUGAGCAACGUAUUGCGAAAUUAAGACAUCUGAGGUAUUUUAUCUGCUCUCCUGCUACGUGGAUCUGCACAAAGGGCCUCCGUCUAGGAACUCACAAGAGCGUAUGAAAUUAAAACGUCUGCUUCCCUGCUGCACAAAGGAACCUUCGGCACCGCAGUCGAGCUUCCACACCAAUGCGUCACACGGGCCGGCAAAGUUGGGACUUUGAAAGCCAACACGAAUUUGGAGCCCUAGGCCAUCGAUUGAUCGCAAUGCUGUUUGAUAUCUACCACAUUCCCGUUGAAAAGGGAUACCACUCCUUCGAUACGAUCUCUAAAUCAAAAUAGAAUGGGCCAACAGCACUUUGGAAAGGAAUACACAGGUGCGUCAAGUACUUCCAUCACAUCUUAUGGAUAUUUUAUGCCAAGAUUUGCUUGAGAUGGGGAGGUAGGCCAUCGAAUCGAUCCCGGUGCCACUUUCCAGUCGUUAGAAAAGGUUGUCAUGUGGAAGUUUCUAAUUCAAAAUGAAGUUGCUCAAAUA